Molecule: long non-coding RNA, 622 nt
Organism: Centruroides sculpturatus (bark scorpion)
Lineage: Eukaryota; Metazoa; Arthropoda; Arachnida; Scorpiones; Buthidae
Exons: 3
Source: RefSeq, a predicted model, not a curated record
AAGCUUUAAACAGGAACCCAAUUAUAAAUUCUCAACCAGAUUUAUUCAUCUAAAGAACGGAUGUCGUGACGAAUGAAAUGUACUAAGUGUUUUUAGACAAUGAAUAUUUAACAAGUAGCAUUCAAUUGAAUACCCAAUUAGUUUGACAAGAUUUACAAUAGAAUAAAAAAAAGAAAACAAUAAACAACAACAAUGUAUAACACUUGUAUUGUUCUCAUAAAUCUCUUCAAAGUGCUUGAAAAAUUUUAUAUAUUCACUCUGGUCAAUAUAUUGAUUGGUUAAGAAAUUGUUUGCUACAAUGUUACAUUGAUACGAUAUCGAAUUCCUCUAACUGGGAGAUAUUUAUCCAAGUAAAGUGGACUGCCUAAUAGACGAUGAGGUAGGAUGGUUCGAACCGACAAACGUUUACCAAUGUGAAGAUAAUGCUAAAUGUUGUAAAGAGUAUGGAAAUCCUUCAUGUUGCGCGGAGAAAGAUAAAUCGGCGAUUGAGAGACCAAGCUAUAUUAUGGGGUGGACUACUUGGAUUUUUGACGGUAUUAGGCAUGAUAGUUUUCUGCAGAAGAUCCGACUUCUACGUUAUGGAAAGCAACAUCGGUAGUAAAUUGAAAUGCUGCGGCAAAUC